GGAUGUGGCUCAGUGGGAGAGUACUUUCCUAGCAUGCAUGAGACCUUGGUUCCAUUCCCAGCACUG
This 66-nucleotide transfer RNA is filed under the name Marmota monax (woodchuck). Its description in RNAcentral is "tRNA.Ala". Lineage: Eukaryota; Metazoa; Chordata; Mammalia; Rodentia; Sciuridae. The record is from RNAcentral.